UUUUACAAUGAAGCUGCUCUCAUGAUUGCUGAGUGCACAGAGGCCUUGCACAGGGAAACCUGAAGGGGAAGAAGGGACCUGAAAGAGGUUGGAUCAUGGAGUGCUUCCAGGAUGCAGGCACCAGAGAAGUUCAACUCCUUCCUUCAGGGUGCAACUGCAGUGAUGCUGAUUUUGUAUAUUUCAACCUACAGGAUCUUGUUCAUCCUCAAUGUGGUCUUGAGAGUGUUCACAUUUGAAAGCAUCAAAUUGACUCAUCGUGCUUCCUCUCGAUUCUCCAGCCACAAGCCCGCUCAUAUCCAAGACCCCAGUUAUGUCCUGCCUCUUCCAGAACUUUCCUCAUUCCAACCAUCUUUUCUACUUAGGUCCCUCCUUGGAAACUUUUUAUCUUUAACAACUUCCAGCUAUGUGUGCUUGUGCACCUUAUAACCUCUUUGAGAGUCAAGUUCUGCUAUGUCUGUAAGGCAGGGAUGGAUAGUAUUCAAAUAAACACUGCCUUGUGUACCUAAAGGGCUGCCA
Molecule: long non-coding RNA, 516 nt
Filed under: Oryctolagus cuniculus (rabbit)
Lineage: Eukaryota; Metazoa; Chordata; Mammalia; Lagomorpha; Leporidae
Description: lncRNA (ENSOCUG00000038377.1)
Source: RNAcentral